This 944-nucleotide ribosomal RNA is filed under the name uncultured organism. RNAcentral's name for it is "bacterial SSU rRNA". It matches the Rfam family "Bacterial small subunit ribosomal RNA", at positions 469 to 1411 of the family's 1533-position model. The record is from RNAcentral.
UUGACGGUACCCUACUAGAAAGGAGCCGCUAACUUCGUGCCAGAAGCGUCGGUAAUACGGGGGCUCCAAGCGUUAUCCGGUGUUAUUGGGCGUAAAGAGUCGUGUAGGUGGUUGGGUAAGUUAUCUUUCAAAUAUCUUUGCUUAACAAAGAGGAGGGGGAUAAUACUGCUCGACUAGAAUUUUCUCAAGGGAGAUCGGAACUGAGGGAGGAGUAGUGAAAUGCGUUGAUACCCUCGGGAACACCAGUGGCGUAGGCGGAUCUCUGGGAGAAGAUUGACACUGAGACACGAAAGCUAGGGGAGCGAAGCAGAUUAGAGACCUGCGUAGUCCUAGCCGUAAACGCAUGCUUGCUAGCUGCAUGAAUCUACCUUCGGGUGGUAUCGUGUGGCGAAGGUAACCCGUUAAGCAAGCCGCCUGGAAAGUACGGCCGCAAGGCUGAAAUUCAAAGGAAUUGGCGGGGAGGCACACAACCAGUGGAACAUGUGGUUUAAUUCGAGACUAACCGAAGAACCUCACCAGGGUUUGACAUGUAGCUGCACGUCUUAAGAAAUUAAGACUCUCUUGAAGGUGCUACACAGGUGCUGCAUGGCUGUCGUCAGCUCGUUCCGUGAGGAGUGCCCUUAAGUGGGACAACGAGCGCAACCCCUAUUACAUGUUAGAAAUGUCAUGUAAGACUGCCUUGCCAUUUGGCGGGGAGGGAGGAGGGGCAGACGUCAAGUCCGCAUGGUCCUUAUGCCCUGGGCUACACACAUGUUACAAUGAGUACGGCAAUGAGUCUGUCGCGAGCACGUAAGUGUAAGCUAAUCUCUUAAAUGUACUCUCAGUGGGGAUUGAGGUCUGCAACUCGACCUCAUGAACACGGAAUUGGUAGUAAUCGCGGGUCAGCUAUACCGCGGUGAUACGUUCUUGCCUCUUGCACACACCGCCCGUCAAACCAGCAAAGU